Molecule: ribosomal RNA, 475 nt
Filed under: uncultured bacterium
Lineage: Bacteria
Description: partial 16S ribosomal RNA
Rfam family: Bacterial small subunit ribosomal RNA
Source: RNAcentral
GACGAACGCUGGCGGCGUGCUUAACACAUGCAAGUCGAACGGUAAGGCCCUUCGGGGUACACGAGUGGCGAACGGGUGAGUAACACGUGGGUGAUCUGCCCUGCACUUCGGGAUAAGCCUGGGAAACUGGGUCUAAUACCGGAUAGGACCACUGCCUGCAUGGGCGGUGGAAAGCUUUUGCGGUGUGGGAUGGGCCCGCGGCCUAGCAGCUUGUUGGUGGGGUGAUGGCCUACCAAGGCGACGACGGGUAGCCGGCCUGAGAGGGUGACCGGCCACACUGGGACUGAGAUACGGCCCAGACUCCUACGGGAGGCAGCAGUGGGGAAUAUUGCACAAUGGGCGCAAGCCUGAUGCAGCGACGCCGCGUGAGGGAUGACGGCCUUCGGGUUGUAAACCUCUUUCAGCACCGACGAAGCGCAAGUGACGGUAGGUGCAGAAGAAGGACCGGCCAACUACGUGCCAGCCGCCGCAGUAA